AUUGAACGCUGGCGGCAUGCUUUACACAUGCAAGUCGAACGGUAACGCGGGGCAACCUGGCGACGAGUGGCGAACGGGUGAGUAAUGCAUCGGAACGUGCCCGGUAGUGGGGGAUAACUGCUCGAAAGAGCAGCUAAUACCGCAUACGACCUGAGGGUGAAAGGGGGGGAUCGCAAGACCUCUCGCUAUUGGAGCGGCCGAUGUCGGAUUGGCUAGUUGGUGGGGUAAGGGCCCACCAAGGCGACGAUCCGUAGCUGGUCUGAGAGGACGACCAGCCACACUGGGACUGAGACACGGCCCAGACUCCUACGGGAGGCAGCAGUGGGGAAUUUUGGACAAUGGACGCAAGUCUGAUCCAGCCAUGCCGCGUGCGGGAAGAAGGCCUUCGGGUUGUAAACCGCUUUUGUCAGAGAAGAAAUCUUCUGGGUUAAUACCUCGGGAGGAUGACGGUAUCUGAAGAAUAAGCACCGGCUAACUACGUGCCAGCCGCCGCGGUAA
Molecule: ribosomal RNA, 498 nt
Filed under: uncultured bacterium
Lineage: Bacteria
Description: partial 16S ribosomal RNA
Rfam family: Bacterial small subunit ribosomal RNA
Source: RNAcentral